AGCGAUUGAGGGGAUCAUCAUUGUCGGUAUUGAUUCUUGCAGCGGAGUGGUGGUGGUCGGAACCACGGGAUCAAAACCGACGUCGGAUACCAUAUUGAACAUGUUGCUAGUAGCAUUGUUGUUGAGUGAAGCAUCCAUUUGAUAGAGUGGAGGUGAAGGAGAAAUAGAAGACGAUGAGUGAUUGGCAAAACAAUCCUUGA
Molecule: long non-coding RNA, 200 nt
Filed under: Zostera marina
Lineage: Eukaryota; Viridiplantae; Streptophyta; Magnoliopsida; Alismatales; Zosteraceae
Description: long non-coding RNA (ZMAR_LNC001690)
Source: RNAcentral